Molecule: long non-coding RNA, 243 nt
Organism: Dicentrarchus labrax (European seabass)
Lineage: Eukaryota; Metazoa; Chordata; Actinopteri; Moronidae
Exons: 2
Source: RefSeq, a predicted model, not a curated record
UGGGGCGAGUGUGUGAGAGGCUAACGAGGUCUGGGUACAACCGUGAGAAGAGGAUCGGGCAGGUGUAACAAUGUGUCCCGGCUCUCUAUGCUGCGGACUGAUAUUUCCUGGAAACUCACUUUAGGUACAGUUACUUACCCCCGGGGCGUUGUUGUUGCUGCUGCUGUUGCUGCGCACCGUGUCGUCAAACAGUUACAGUUGGAUGUUUCGGUUGGAAGCGACCGUUGGAGACUUUCUCCCAAA